Molecule: ribosomal RNA, 465 nt
Filed under: Vreelandella stevensii
Lineage: Bacteria; Pseudomonadati; Pseudomonadota; Gammaproteobacteria; Oceanospirillales; Halomonadaceae
Description: partial 16S ribosomal RNA
Rfam family: Bacterial small subunit ribosomal RNA
Source: RNAcentral
CCUACGGGGGGCAGCAGUGGGGAAUAUUGGACAAUGGGGGGAACCCUGAUCCAGCCAUGCCGCGUGUGUGAAGAAGGCCCUCGGGUUGUAAAGCACUUUCAGUGAGGAAGAACGCCUGGUGGUUAAUACCCAUCAGGAAAGACAUCACUCACAGAAGAAGCACCGGCUAACUCCGUGCCAGCAGCCGCGGUAAUACGGAGGGUGCGAGCGUUAAUCGGAAUUACUGGGCGUAAAGCGCGCGUGGGUGGCUUGAUAAGCCGGUUGUGAAAGCCCCGGGCUCAACCUGGGAACGGCAUCCGGAACUGUCAAGCUAGAGUGCAGGAGAGGAAGGUAGAAUUCCCGGUGUAGCGGUGAAAUGCGUAGAGAUCGGGAGGAAUACCAGUGGCGAAGGCGGCCUUCUGGACUGACACUGACACUGAGGUGCGAAAGCGUGGGUAGCAAACAGGAUUAGAUACCCUUGUAGUC